Molecule: ribosomal RNA, 492 nt
Filed under: uncultured bacterium
Lineage: Bacteria
Description: partial 16S ribosomal RNA
Rfam family: Bacterial small subunit ribosomal RNA
Source: RNAcentral
GAUGAACGCUAGCUACAGGCUUAACACAUGCAAGUCGAGGGGAAACGGCAUUGAGUGCUUGCACUCUUUGGACGUCGACCGGCGCACGGGUGAGUAACGCGUAUCCAACCUUCCCAUUACUGUGGGAUAACCUGCCGAAAGGCAGACUAAUACCGCAUAGUCUUCGAUGACGGCAUCAGAUUUGAAGUAAAGAUUUAUCGGUAAUGGAUGGGGAUGCGUCUGAUUAGCUUGUUGGCGGGGUAACGGCCCACCAAGGCUACGAUCAGUAGGGGUUCUGAGAGGAAGGUCCCCCACAUUGGACCUGAGACACGGUCCAAACUCCUACGGGAGGCAGCAGUGAGGAAUAUUGGUCAAUGGACGGAAGUCUGAACCAGCCAAGUAGCGUGCAGGAUGACGGCCCUAUGGGUUGUAAACUGCUUUUGUAUGGGGAUAAAGUUAGGGACGUGUCCCUAUUUGCAGGUACCUUACGAAUAAGGACCGGCUAAUUCCGUG